This 303-nucleotide ribosomal RNA is filed under the name uncultured bacterium. Its description in RNAcentral is "partial 16S ribosomal RNA". It matches the Rfam family "Bacterial small subunit ribosomal RNA", at positions 510 to 808 of the family's 1533-position model. The record is from RNAcentral.
AGCAGUCGCCGCGGAAUACGUAGGUGGCAAGCGUUGUCCGGAAUUAUUGGGCGUAAAGGGCUCGCAGGCGGUUUCUUAAGUCUGAUGUGAAAGCCCCCGGCUCAACCGGGGAGGGUCAUUGGAAACUGGGAAACUUGAGUGCAGAAGAGGAGAGUGGAAUUCCACGUGUAGCGGUGAAAUGCGUAGAGAUGUGGAGGAACACCAGUGGCGAAGGCGACUCUCUGGUCUGUAACUGACGCUGAGGAGCGAAAGCGUGGGGAGCGAACAGGAUUAGAUACCCCUGUAGUCCCUGUCUCUUAUACA